CAGUCGCCGCGGUAAUACGUAGGGUGCAAGCGUUAAUCGGAAUUACUGGGCGUAAAGCGUGCGCAGGCGGUUUGUUAAGACAGAUGUGAAAUCCCCGGGCUCAACCUGGGAACUGCAUUUGUGACUGGCAAGCUAGAGUGCGGCAGAGGGGGGUGGAAUUCCGCGUGUAGCAGUGAAAUGCGUAGAUAUGCGGAGGAACACCGAUGGCGAAGGCAGCCCCCUGGGCCAACACUGACGCUCAUGCACGAAAGCGUGGGGAGCAAACAGGAUUAGAUACCCGGGUAGUCCCUGUCUCUUAUAC
This 301-nucleotide ribosomal RNA is filed under the name uncultured bacterium. RNAcentral's name for it is "partial 16S ribosomal RNA". It matches the Rfam family "Bacterial small subunit ribosomal RNA", at positions 509 to 807 of the family's 1533-position model. The record is from RNAcentral.